AUUGAACGCUGGCGGCAUGCCUAACACAUGCAAGUCGAACGAAGGCUUCGGCCUUAGUGGCGCACGGGUGAGUAACACGUGGGAAUCUGCCUUUCGGUUCGGGAUAACGUCUGGAAACGGACGCUAACACCGGAUACGCCCUUUGGGGGAAAGUUUACGCCGAGAGAGGAGCCCGCGUCCGAUUAGGUAGUUGGUGGGGUAACGGCCCACCAAGCCGACGAUCGGUAGCUGGUCUGAGAGGAUGAUCAGCCACACUGGGACUGAGACACGGCCCAGACUCCUACGGGAGGCAGCAGUGGGGAAUAUUGGACAAUGGGGGCAACCCUGAUCCAGCAAUGCCGCGUGAGUGAUGAAGGCCUUAGGGUUGUAAAGCUCUUUCGCACGCGACGAUGAUGACGGUAGCGUGAGAAGAAGCCCCGGCUAACUUCGUGCCAGCCGCCGCCGUAA
Molecule: ribosomal RNA, 447 nt
Filed under: uncultured bacterium
Lineage: Bacteria
Description: partial 16S ribosomal RNA
Rfam family: Bacterial small subunit ribosomal RNA
Source: RNAcentral